UGGGGAAUAUUGGACAAUGGGCGAAAGCCUGAUCCAGCAAUGCCGCGUGUGUGAAGAAGGCCUUCGGGUUGUAAAGCACUUUAAGCAGGGAAGAAAAAGCACAACCUAAUACGUUGAGCCUUGACGGUACCUGCAGAAUAAGCACCGGCUAACUCUGUGCCAGCAGCCGCGGUAAUACAGAGGGUGCAAGCGUUAAUCGGAUUUACUGGGCGUAAAGCGUGCGUAGGCGGUUCAGUAUGUCGGUCGUGAAAUCCCCGGGCUUAACCUGGGAACUGCGGCCGAAACUGCUGGGCUUGAGUGUGGUAGAGGGCGGUGGAAUUCCGGGUGUAGCGGUGAAAUGCGUAGAUAUCCGGAGGAACAUCAAUGGCGAAGGCAGCCGCCUGGGCCACAACUGACGCUGAGGUACGAAAGCGUGGGGAGCAA
This 423-nucleotide ribosomal RNA is filed under the name uncultured bacterium. RNAcentral's name for it is "bacterial SSU rRNA". It matches the Rfam family "Bacterial small subunit ribosomal RNA", at positions 355 to 771 of the family's 1533-position model. The record is from RNAcentral.